AAAAAGGUUUAAAUGUAGCAUAUUGCUCACAGGCUGUCAGAGAGUUUUUGUAGUACAUGAAAGUGCAUGUUUGCCAUGUUGUUUAUACGUCUGUAGUCUAUGUGUUUUGCAAAUUUAAUACGUGAAUUGUACACCGGGAAAUAUAAAAUACUUAGGGUUCAUUAUUUAUCGGGGGGGGGGGGGGGGAGGAGCUGGUGGAUUCUAAAAUUCAAACAGCAUAAUAAAAAUGACCUCCCUUUUAAUGUGUUUAAAAAUGUAGUCCACCCCUUUAGAACAGUCUGAAAAUUUUUCACCCUCCUCCAACAUUAAAGUUAAGAAGAACAUAGUAUGGCCGUAUGGUAGUUCUUCCCAUCCUAUUCUUGUGUGCUCUUUAAUUACAACCAGGGGCGUAGAGAGGACCUUCAACUUGGGGAUACUGGACAGGAUUUAGUCAACGGAGGGGGGGGUGUGAAAUAAAAUCCAAAUCCACAAUAUAAUUGUGUAUAAUCUUGUCUAAGUAAGUACAUAUAUGGCCUCAAGAAGAAAGGGUUUACUUUGGGUUUUUAAAUGUAAAAUAUAUUUACUUUCAAUCAUCAUUCGGUUUUAAAAGUAAUUCGCUUUAUUUUAACCCAUCAUUUUCCAUCACGAAAAAUCAUGUCUUUUAUGCAUUAUACAGUCUUCGGACUUAUGCAAACUCAAACCCCGAAAAUGCAGGAAAUCGCAUUUCAGGGACUCUAGAUUUCAAAAUAUUCUGGGGGAGCAUGCCCCCAGACCUCCCCUAAAAUGGCUCACGCCUUUUACGCCGGCUACGCCACUAUCUCUCUACUAUCUUCUUUUUAUCAAUGCUAUAAAAUUUUAUUGUCUCCCCAAAACCAUUCUUUUUAUUUUACACCCAUAAAAUAUAUCCCCC
This is a non-coding RNA of Paramuricea clavata, 889 nucleotides long. NCBI's taxonomy places the organism in Eukaryota, Metazoa, Cnidaria, Anthozoa, Malacalcyonacea, Plexauridae. The record is from the annotation of a GenBank genome assembly.